Molecule: long non-coding RNA, 252 nt
Filed under: Capsicum annuum
Lineage: Eukaryota; Viridiplantae; Streptophyta; Magnoliopsida; Solanales; Solanaceae
Description: long non-coding RNA (CANN_LNC002645)
Source: RNAcentral
UUGGACGGGCUUUAGUUGUAUCAUGUGGGCAAUUUUGGUUGGUUGGAGCUAGCAUGGACUGAUAUAGAUGUGGAGCUCGAUAAGCAGGGGCUGGAGGGUGAUAGUAAUUUUCUUGGGUAUUGUAGAUAGGGUAAGGAGUUGGUGGAAUUUGAUAGUGUUUGACAAGUUCCAGCAUAUUGGUAAGCAUAAAUAGGUUGAUGUGGUUGGUUUGGGUAUAGAGGAACUUGAUUUGGCUUGUAUCCUUGGUCAAUC